UGUGUAGGCGGUUCUCCAAGUUUGGUGUGAAAUCUCCCGGCUCAACCGGGAGGGUGCGCCGAAAACUGGAGGGCUAGAGUGCGGGAGGGGAGAGUGGAAUUCCUGGUGUAGCGGUGAAAUGCGUAGAUAUCAGGAGGAACACCGGUGGUGUAGACGGCUCUCUGGACCGUAACUGACGCUGAAACACGAAAGCGUGGGUAGCAAACAGGAUUAGAUACCCUGGUAGUCCACGCCCUAAACGAUGCAUAUUUGGUGUGGGUCAUUCAGUUGAUCCGUGCCGGAGCUAACGCGUUAAAUAUGCCGCCUGGGGAGUACAGUCGCAAGGCUGAA
Molecule: ribosomal RNA, 330 nt
Filed under: uncultured bacterium
Lineage: Bacteria
Description: bacterial SSU rRNA
Rfam family: Bacterial small subunit ribosomal RNA
Source: RNAcentral